GGUCAAAACUAGCAGGACCCUUAGAGAUAAUCUAGCCCCAACUGCUCCUCUUGUAGAUGGAGAAACUGAAGCCCAGGGGAGGAAAGCAGCUUAUCCAAGAUCAUACACAGCAUCAGAGCUUAAACCAACAUGACCUGGCAGGACAUUUCAGCGAAAUAUGGUGCUCGGCAACAAGAAAAGCACAAAGCUGUAGUGGGAGGACCUUGGCCCAAUGUGCCCUGCUGUGUUCCUCAGCUCACCCCUGAACCACGGUGUGCUGGAAUGAGCUCCUGAUGGGACUCACACGGGGACUCCAUCCUCUCCAUCUUUGCGUGCCGCACCCAGCAUCCAUGACUGGCCCGAACCAUGGUCUCACGGGAAAAAACACGAAUCAGCCACCCCGAGGGAAGCACACCGAGGUGUACAGUUCAGCGGCAUCAUCCACAUGGUUUUGCAAAUAUCACAGCCAUCCAUCUCCAGAACUUUCUCAUCUUCCCAAACUGAAAUAUGUCCCCAUUUAACACAAACUCUCCCUGCCUUCCUCCCCCGGCCUCUGGGAACCACCUUUCUGCAUCUGUCUCAAUGAGUCUGACUACUGGAGGAAUCCUUCCGUAAGUGGAAUCAAAUCGUAUUUGUCCUUUUGUCACUAGUUGGCUUCACUCGGCAUCAUGUCUUUGAGGUUCAUCUACACUAUCGCAAACGUCAGAAUUCCCUCGCUCUUUAAGACUGAAUCACCUCCCUGCUCAUGUAUGUUCCACAUCUGGUUGACCUGUCUACCUUUUAGCUAUUUUUUAAACAAUGUCUCUAUGAGCAUGGGUGUGCAAAUGGCUGCUUGAGUCCCUGCCUCCACUUACCUGGGGUCAGAAGCUGACUUGCGGGAUGGGGUGGAAGUCUGAUGAAGUUGAUUGGAGGAGCCACCCAUUCUUCACCGUGGUUGUGCUAUUCCACAUCCCCAAGAGCUGUCUACAAGGGUUCUGAUGUCUCCACAGCCUCUCCAGCGCUGGCAUUGUCUGUUUUUGGUUCUUAAGUUAUUGCUCUUGCUCUAGCCAUCCUGAACCACCUACAGGGUGGUUAGCGAUGUGACGAGUGAUGUCGAGCAUCUUUGUGUGAGCGUGCUGUUCCUUUGUUUUUCCUCUCUGGAGAAACAUCUUGUCAAGUGCUUGGAAUGUUUUUUAA
Long non-coding RNA from Mustela putorius furo (domestic ferret), 1155 nucleotides. The record is from Ensembl. NCBI's taxonomy places the organism in Eukaryota, Metazoa, Chordata, Mammalia, Carnivora, Mustelidae.